This 271-nucleotide ribosomal RNA is filed under the name uncultured bacterium. RNAcentral describes it as "partial 16S ribosomal RNA". It matches the Rfam family "Bacterial small subunit ribosomal RNA", at positions 82 to 354 of the family's 1533-position model. The record is from RNAcentral.
UGUUGGUAUCUUAGUGGCGGACGGGUGAGUAACGCGUGGGUAACCUGCCUUACACUGGGGGAUAACACUUAGAAAUAGGUGCUAAUACCGCAUAACAGGAGAAGACGCAUGUCUUUUCCUUGAAAACUCCGGUGGUGUAAGAUGGACCCGCGUCUGAUUAGCUGGUUGGCGGGGUAACGGCCCACCAAGGCGACGAUCAGUAGCCGGCCUGAGAGGGUGAACGGCCACAUUGGGACUGAGACACGGCCCAAACUCCUACGGAAGGCAGCAG